RNAcentral lists this long non-coding RNA (480 nucleotides) under Anser brachyrhynchus (Pink-footed goose). RNAcentral's name for it is "lncRNA (ENSABRG00000007703.1)". The record is from RNAcentral. Lineage: Eukaryota; Metazoa; Chordata; Aves; Anseriformes; Anatidae.
AGACUGAAACAUUUGUCACCCCAAAGAGAACUGGGACUGUUUAUACAGGAGAAGAGAAGGCUCAGGGAGAUCUUACCCAGCUGCAUAAAUACUUAAUGAGAGAGAUUGAAGAAUUAUAGAAUCACAAUAAUUCUUGGAUAAUCUUUGCAUCUGCAGUAAAUCAGAAAUGAACGUCUUCGGGAUCAUCAGUUAAUUAAAACUUCAUUCCUAGCUCUACUUGCAUUGGAAAUCAAGCUGAAAAUAUAACCAGGAUGUUUCUAUACUGUGCAUGGAAGCUGUGAUGGACUACUUAAGAAAGCCCUGAAAACAUCAUUGCAAACUGAAGAAGUAUUGAUAUCGUCAGUGUCAUGGGCAGAUCAAAGAUAGAAUCCUCUGAGAAUAACAAACACAGUGUUCUAAGGUGAUGAGUAAAGAGGUUAUGAAUAAGUUAUAAAUGGAAAGAAUUGAGUUAAAGAAAGAGAUUUGAAAGUUAUAGUCUCA